RNAcentral lists this ribosomal RNA (483 nucleotides) under uncultured bacterium. RNAcentral describes it as "partial 16S ribosomal RNA". It matches the Rfam family "Bacterial small subunit ribosomal RNA", at positions 30 to 506 of the family's 1533-position model. The record is from RNAcentral.
AUUGAACGCUGGCGGCAUGCUUUACACAUGCAAGUCGAACGGCAGCGCGGGCUUCGUCCUGGCGGCGAGUGGCGAACGGGUGAGUAAUACACCGGAACGUGCCCAGUAGUGGGGGAUAGCUCGGCGAAAGCCGGAUUAAUACCGCAUACGAUAUGAUGGUGAAAGCGGGGGAUCUUCGGACCUCGAGCGAUUUGAGCGGCCGAUGGGAGAUUAGCGCGUUGGUUGGGUAAAGCCCUACCAAGGCGACGAUCUGUAGCUAGCCUGAGAGGACGACCAGCCAACCGGAACUUAGGCACCGGCCCAGACUCUUACGGGAGGAGGCAGUGGGGAAUUUUGGACAAUGGGCGAAAGCCUGAUCCAGAAAUGCCGCGUGUGUAAUGAAGGCCUUCGGGUUGUAAAGCACUUUUGGCGGGAACGAAAAGGACUGUGCCAAUACCACGGUUCGAUGACGGUACCCGCAGAAUAAGCACCGGCUAACUACGU